This is an RNA transcript of Hypanus sabinus (Atlantic stingray), 2486 nucleotides long. It is a transcript of the gene named SH3 domain binding glutamate-rich protein, with no coding region annotated. The transcript is spliced from 10 exons. NCBI's taxonomy places the organism in Eukaryota, Metazoa, Chordata, Chondrichthyes, Myliobatiformes, Dasyatidae. The record is from RefSeq and is a predicted model, not a curated record.
GCCCGAGGUUCCGAGCUGGGCUUGGCUUUGCGCAGCGGUGCUGGUUUCUUGCGCCUUGGCGUUACUUGUGCAUGGGUGGGAGCUCGUAGGGUUGGAGUUUUUGCAUCUAUUUUUGUUACGUCUAUUUCUUUCGGGAUUAUUUUAAAAGAAGACAUGGUUAUCAAGGUCUUUAUUGCCUCGCAGUCCGGUUCCACGGCGAUCAAGAAGAAACAACAGGAUGUUCUAGGCUUCUUGGAAGCCAAUAAAAUAGACUUCAAAGAAAUGGAUAUAGCAGCAAAUGAGGAGAAUCGAAAGUGGAUGAGGGAAAAUGUUCCCGGGGAAAAGCGCCCUCAGAACGGUAUUCCUCUUCCGCCACAGAUAUUCAAUGAUGAGCUGUAUUGUGGGGAUUUCGAUGCUUUUUUCAAUGCCAAAGAGGAUAAUGGAGUUUACGCAUUUCUUGGCCUGACACCACCACCUGGUUCAAAGGAAGCACAUCAGGCUGCAAUCAUCCAGAACGGUGAAGUUCCAGAAAAUAAAGCAAUCCUUCCCUUGUGUAGAACCACUGAAGAUCAGCUCGGAGAAAGUAAUGAAAUGUUACAUAAUCACUUUGAGCGGUCAACAGACAUAAAUGAAAACAUUGAGAGCGAAACUGCAAAGAACAAGGAGACUGCUCAGCAAAUGGUUGAGCCAGAAGACGAUGUAGGAGAAUCUCUCAAGCCUGAGUCUACUCUUGAAGGCGAAUUGGUGGAAAAAGAGGACAAGGAAGAGGAGGAACCGGUUUCAGAGAAUGAAGAAGAGCAGCCUGUAACUGAGGUAGAUGAUCUGUCAACUCAUCUCAUCAUCUCAUUAAUCAUUGUUGUUUCCAUUUCAAUAUUUCAAAUGUAAUCUGGUUUUGUUUGAAUCUGGUAGAAUUGUUGGAAUGCAAUAUAGUUUAAAUUUUUGGAGUUCUAUCCAGAAUUUAAGUGGCUCUUUCAAGUUACAAAUAAAUUGUGUGUUUUAGCCAAGUUCAGACUAGUGCCCAGCUCUUCGGUGUGAAUGUCUUCUGCAAUGUCAUAGUGAAAUGUCUCUUGGUUGGGUGCGGGGGUAAAAUUGGCUGUUAAGAUUCAGACCUACUCUGGUCUAGUCAAGUUUGGGUUGCAUUUUCACUGUGUCCCAGGCAGACCUAUUGUGCUUUCUCCACAAAGAGCACUGCUGGGCUUUGACUUGCUAGUUGAACAGUAUUGCAACACACCUUGGUGGACAAAAUUCCUUUAUCUGGUCAAAAUAUCACUCAGUUCUGCAUAAGAAUAUUUUCAAUUUCCAAGAUUGGUAGCUUUCUUUUCAGUACAAUUUCAUCCACCACUCCCUCAUCAUUAUUGUUGUAUUGAAUUAUUCCAUGGUUAUUUUAUGGAGUAUUUUCUGUUCUGCUUUUAAGUUUUUCCUCUUCCUUUUUCUGUCACUCAUUUUUCCCCCUCCCCUCCCUACAUACGUUUCAGGAGGAGGAAGAUGAAGAACCACUGACUGAGGUAGUUUUGAGUCUUUCAACUCGAGCUUGACAAUGACAUACAUAAAAUGUGUUUAAAUACUGUAUAAGUGUGCAACCUGAUUGCACAUUUUCACAUUGGAUAUUAAAUGAUUAACUGACAAGUAUAAACUUUAAUAACUGAAAUGGUCUGUGUGCAUUUAGAGACACCUUGCAUUCUUUGAACUAUAGAAUGCAUUUUAAAUAUUUAAGUGUAUGGCAGUGUCAUCAUAAGGUAAUGAAAUUUAAUUUAAAGAAUAUUAUAUAAUUUUUGCCAUACAUCUUAAAUGAGAAUGACAUGAAUGGUGUUGGUGGCCAUAUUUUCUUUUAGUUACUGAUGUUUAUGUUCCAGGAAAUUUAAUGUAGUCGUUUAUUUUUUUUAUUUCUUGAUUAGGAUGAAGCGGAUGAAUCUUAAAACAAUGUUUUUGCUUUUGUAUGAUUUCCUCUGCAAGGGUUUAAGGAAGCAGAAGCUCUUGCAGAACAACAGCAAGUGUAGGAACUUGAACCAGGAACAUUGGACCACCCAUGGUAAUCACAGAAAAACAUUGGCGCUGCCCAAAAAAGUUCUUCAUUUCAACGCAUGAAUUUCAACAGAGGCAUAGCCUUCGAACCUCUACUCCCUUUCGCAAACGCUGAGCCUCAACCAAACUAGCCCCUCUGAUUUGUAGAUGAUUUAGAUUCAGUGGACUUUUUAGAUGCAAAUCUAAGUUUUUGGAAGUUAAUGCAAGCAGUCCCAUUUUCUAAGGCUUGGUUAAACUCUGCUUCUGUUUCUGAAAAUUUCUACCUUGCAAAUGCCAAUUAGAGCCUUAAAUCAAAGCUUUCCUCAAAAAAUACUGCCAAUUAUUGCAAAAUUUUGCAUCAUCUUAAUUAUGCCGUGUUGCCUAUUUUCCCCUCUUUUUAUCUGCCAGUGUUCCUUUCACUGAAAUUAGUUGCUGUGAAUGUUGGAGAGAGUAAUUACUGAUAAAUGAUGCAGUGGAUUUUUUUUAUAAAAUUGUCUUGUCUGUCA